RNAcentral lists this ribosomal RNA (115 nucleotides) under Bacillus glycinifermentans. Lineage: Bacteria; Bacillati; Bacillota; Bacilli; Caryophanales; Bacillaceae. The record is from RNAcentral.
UGGUGGCGAUGGCGAAGAGGUCACACCCGUUCCCAUGCCGAACACGGAAGUUAAGCUCUUCAGCGCCGAUGGUAGUUGGGGGUUUCCCCCUGUGAGAGUAGGACGCCGCCAAGCU